This 336-nucleotide RNase P RNA is filed under the name Candidatus Portiera aleyrodidarum (primary endosymbiont of Bemisia tabaci). Its description in RNAcentral is "Bacterial RNase P class A". It matches the Rfam family "Bacterial RNase P class A". Rfam says of the family: Ribonuclease P (RNase P) is a ubiquitous endoribonuclease, found in archaea, bacteria and eukarya as well as chloroplasts and mitochondria. The record is from Rfam by way of RNAcentral. Lineage: Bacteria; Pseudomonadati; Pseudomonadota; Gammaproteobacteria; Johnevansiales (SeqCode); Johnevansiaceae (SeqCode).
UAAUAUAGUUAUGCAGUCACUUAUAAAAAAAGUUAUAAGAGGAAAGUCCGGACUCAUUGAGCAAAGUGCCAGUUAAUAACUGGGCAAAGAUUUUUGACGGAAAGUGCACAAGAAAAAAUACAAUCUAUUUUAUAGAUAAUGGUGAAAAGGUUUGGUAAAAGCAUACCACGUAUUUGGAAACAAAUUCGUUAUGUAAACCCCACUUUGAGUAAAACUAAAUAAGAAUUUCAAGAGCUCUAAAAAAAUUCUGGUAGGUUGCAUAAAUAUAUAUAGUAAUAUAUAUAUUAGAUAAAUGACUGUAAUUUGAACAGGAUCCGGCUUAUUGUAUAUUAAUAA